GAUGAACGCUGGCGGCGUGCUUAACACAUGCAAGUCGAACGGAAAGGCCCAAGCUUGCUUGGGUACUCGAGUGGCGAACGGGUGAGUAACACGUGGGUGAUCUGCCCUGCACUUCGGGAUAAGCCUGGGAAACUGGGUCUAAUACCGGAUAGGACCACAUUUUGGAUGGUGUGGUGGAAAGUUUUUCGGUGUGGGAUGAGCUCGCGGCCUAUCAGCUUGUUGGUGGGGUAAUGGCCUACCAAGGCGUCGACGGGUAGCCGGCCUGAGAGGGUGUACGGCCACAUUGGGACUGAGAGACGGCCCAGACUCCUACGGGAGGCAGCGGUGGGGAAUAUUGCACAAUGGGCGCAAGCCUGAUGCAGCGACGCCGCGUGGGGGAUGACGGCCUUCGGGUUGUAAACUCCUUUCGCUAGGGACGAAGCGUUAUGUGACGGUACCUGGAGAAGAAGCACCGGCUAACUACGUG
This 466-nucleotide ribosomal RNA is filed under the name uncultured bacterium. RNAcentral's name for it is "partial 16S ribosomal RNA". It matches the Rfam family "Bacterial small subunit ribosomal RNA", at positions 28 to 507 of the family's 1533-position model. The record is from RNAcentral.